CCUCUCUCGAUUUCUGUCCCGAAGGCGCUAUGCUCUUCCAGCUGACACCUUACAGACAUGUCAGGAAGCAAGGAAAGGUUAUUUUUUCACUCAUCGUUUACAUUUGGGUGAUUAACUUAGUCUUGAAAAAAAAAACACGUCAUUUUAAUGACAUUGUGAUAAAUAAAUUUUGGGUCUUUAAAUUGU
Molecule: long non-coding RNA, 186 nt
Organism: Ixodes scapularis (black-legged tick)
Lineage: Eukaryota; Metazoa; Arthropoda; Arachnida; Ixodida; Ixodidae
Exons: 2
Source: RefSeq, a predicted model, not a curated record